RNAcentral lists this ribosomal RNA (468 nucleotides) under uncultured bacterium. RNAcentral describes it as "partial 16S ribosomal RNA". It matches the Rfam family "Bacterial small subunit ribosomal RNA", at positions 28 to 507 of the family's 1533-position model. The record is from RNAcentral.
GACGAACGCUGGCGGCGUGCUUAACACAUGCAAGUCGAACGGAAAGGCCCUGCUUGUGUGGGGUGCUCGAGGGGCGAACGGGUGAGUAACACGUGAGUAACCUACCCUUGACUUUGGGAGAACUUCAGGAAACUGGGGCUAAUACCGGAUAGGAGCUCCUGCUGGAGGGGGGGGGUUGGAAAGUUUGGGGGGUGGGGGAUGGACGCGCGGCUUAUCAGCUUGUGGGUGGGGUGGUGGCUUACCAAGGCUUGGACGGGUAGCCGGCCUGGGAGGGUGACCGGCCAAAUUGGGCCUGAGUUACGGCCCAGCCUCCUACGGGAGGCAGCAGUGGGGAAUAUUGCCCAAUGGGCGGAAGCCUGUUGCAGCACCGCCGCGGGCGGGAUGCCGGCCUUCGGGUUGAAAACCGCUUUAGCAUGUGACGAAGCGUGAGUGACGGUAAUGGGUAAAGAAGCACCGGCUAACUACGUG